AUACUGACCUGGCAGGGGAGAUGCCGAGGUAACGAGGGUGGUUUUCCUGGGACGGGGCUUGUUCAUUGCACUCCGGAUGUGCUGACCCCUGCGAUUUCCCCAGGUGUGGGGGGCUCAGCUGCAUAAUUGGUGGUGGUGGGGGACUCCGUUCGCGCUCUCCCCUG
This is a small nuclear RNA of Echinops telfairi (small Madagascar hedgehog), 164 nucleotides long. Its record names the gene U1. It matches the Rfam family "U1 spliceosomal RNA". From Rfam's summary of the family: U1 is a small nuclear RNA (snRNA) component of the spliceosome (involved in pre-mRNA splicing). The record is from Ensembl. Lineage: Eukaryota; Metazoa; Chordata; Mammalia; Afrosoricida; Tenrecidae.